RNAcentral lists this ribosomal RNA (501 nucleotides) under uncultured bacterium. RNAcentral's name for it is "partial 16S ribosomal RNA". It matches the Rfam family "Bacterial small subunit ribosomal RNA", at positions 30 to 523 of the family's 1533-position model. The record is from RNAcentral.
AUUGAACGCUGGCGGCAUGCCUUACACAUGCAAGUCGAACGGCAGCACGGGUGCUUGCACCUGGUGGCGCGUGGCGAACGGGUGAGUAAUACAUCGGAACGUACCUUAUCGUGGGGGAUAACGCAGCGAAAGUUGCGCUAAUACCGCAUCCGCCCUGAGGGGGAAAGGGGGGGACCGUAAGACCUCGCGCGAUUAGCGCGCCCGAUGUCUGAUUAGCUUGUUGGUGAGGUAAAAGCUCACCAAGGCGAUGAUCAGUAGCUGGUCUGAGAGGACGAUCAGCCACACUGGGACUGAGACACGGCCCAGACUCCUACGGGAGGCUGCAGUGGGGAAUUUUGGACAAUGGGGGCAACCCUGAUCCAGCAAUGCCGCGUGAGUGAAGAAGGCCUUCGGGUUGUAAAGCUCUUUUGUCAGGGAAGAAACAGCAGCUCUAACACAGUCUGCGAAUGACGGGACCUGAAGAAUAAGCACCGGCUAACUACGUGCCAGCCGCCGCGGUAA